GGGGUUGUAGCUCCAUGGUAAAGCGCUUGCCUAGCAUGCAUGAGGCACUGGGUUCGAUCCCCAGCACCACA
Molecule: transfer RNA, 71 nt
Filed under: Marmota monax (woodchuck)
Lineage: Eukaryota; Metazoa; Chordata; Mammalia; Rodentia; Sciuridae
Description: tRNA.Ala
Rfam family: tRNA
About the family: Transfer RNA (tRNA) molecules are approximately 80 nucleotides in length. Their secondary structure includes four short double-helical elements and three loops (D, anti-codon, and T loops). Further hydrogen bonds mediate the characteristic L-shaped molecular structure. tRNAs have two regions of fundamental functional importance: the anti-codon, which is responsible for specific mRNA codon recognition, and the 3' end, to which the tRNAs corresponding amino acid is attached (by aminoacyl-tRNA synthetases). tRNAs cope with the degeneracy of the genetic code in two manners: having more than one tRNA (with a specific anti-codon) for a particular amino acid; and 'wobble' base-pairing, i.e. permitting non-standard base-pairing at the 3rd anti-codon position.
Source: RNAcentral